GGGCCACGCUGACCCCAGCAUCACACGGAAGGCUGGGACGUGCCCCCUCCCCCAAGAGCAGUUUCGGCUACUCUGUGUCCCCCUUUUAUGGGCUGCACGACGUGGCAGCAUUUUAACCGCCCCUUCUCAAUGCACAGCCCGGACAGGCUGUUCUCAACACUCUCUACUGCAAACUACACACAGUUUUACGUCGCCAGAAAGACCCCAAAUUUCUAUUCAAAAAGACCGUACCAGUUUCAGUUCCCGCCAACCUCAAAGGCAGAGACAAAAGGACGGUGUGCCCCUCCUGUAACUUCAUUUCUUCGGUGACUGUGAAGCUGAGGGCAGAGUCCACGCCUGGGGACAGGGCUGCCACCGCAGCGGCCACUGCGUCCAACCCUCGCUCCUCCUCCCAGAGACGACCUGCGUUCCGCUCAGGGACAGGGCUGCCAACGCAGCGGCCACCGCACCCAACGCUCGCUCCUCCUCCCAGAGACAACCUGAGCUCUGCUCAGAAGCGGCACCUCCUCAUGCUGGACUCACUCGGGCCCACAUGUGCCAAGGGGGCCUGGUUUUGGGGCCGGCGGGUUCUGCCUGAUGCUCAGAGGGUAACUGGAUGCUGAAAACUGUGAGUCUUUCUUCAACUCAGGGGAAUGUUUCCAGGGCACGCCAGGCCUCACUCACGCAGGCCUCCGCGACAACUGUUCAGCACUGACUGAGGGUGAAGUGAAAUCCUGAAAGCUGAGAGCCAGCGCCCUCACACGAGGGCUGGGACGUAACAAAAGCCCAUCAAGAGUUUUGCCCAGGGCUUUCUUGGGCCUUGAAGCAUGACGAGACCAGGACCCGUUUAGGAUUAAACAAGUUUUACUGGGGGUCUGAAAAAACUCCCCAGGCCUCCACAAACAAGUGGAGAAGGAACUCCCCAAACCUCCAUGAUUUAGCAGAAGACAAGAUAAGGGUAAACACCUGGGCCCAUUUAGAUCAAGUAAAUUUACUGAGUCUUCAGAGGAAGAUCUUCAGGACCAGACCUCAGUUAGAGAUGAGAAGAAUUGAAUCACGUACGUCUUUAGACGAAUGCACACUGACACGGAGACACAGAGCUUAGAAGGUGUGUAAGCUCUGGAAAAACUGUAAUCUGGAGUUGGUCUGGCGAUCAUUUCCAGGCCUUCUCCCUGUAACCAGUUACAGAAAUAAAAUCCCUCUUCUUCCCCAGUUCAUCUGCAUCUCGCUAUCGGGCCUCGGGAAUGAGCAACCCGACCCUGGGUUUGGUCCGGGAACGUUUUGUUCUCUGCGUGAACUGCUUUCUCAUCUGUGGUCUUUUCUGUCUUCUGGGACUCCUGUUGUUGGCACGUGGGCUCCUCCCGGGCCACUUUCCCUUUACCUGGCAGGAUCCUCUCCUGUGCCUUUCCUGGGCUGAGGGGGGAGGGAGGGAGGGAGGGAGGGUGGCCUGCCGAGGUCCCUGGGCUAAGAGGGGAGAGUGGCCUGCAGAGGUCCCUGGGCUGAGGGGGGAGGGAGGGUGGCCUGCGGAGGUCCCUGGGUUGAGGGGGAGGGAAGGUGGCCUGCGGAGGUCCCUGGGCUGAGGGGGGAGGGAGGGUGGCCUGCGGAGGUCCCUGGGCUGAGGGGGGAGGGAAGGUG
RNAcentral lists this long non-coding RNA (1614 nucleotides) under Homo sapiens (human). RNAcentral's name for it is "HSALNT0309876". Lineage: Eukaryota; Metazoa; Chordata; Mammalia; Primates; Hominidae. The record is from RNAcentral.